This 256-nucleotide long non-coding RNA is filed under the name Homo sapiens (human). RNAcentral's name for it is "HSALNT0177787". Lineage: Eukaryota; Metazoa; Chordata; Mammalia; Primates; Hominidae. The record is from RNAcentral.
GUGUGUGUGGUUAGGAAGCGAAGAGGAGGCUCUGCAAACACCUCGGUGGGCAGCGGGAGCGCGAGAGUGGCACACACGGGGUCACGCAGCAGCACAGCAGGUGGCACUUACUUCUGUUCAGCACGACCCUCUUCUGUUAACACCGGUCAUGGGAGCAAAUGAAAAUGACAAAUGGAAUGACUUGAGACAACACUGCAAAAAUUAAUGAACAAGAAAGGAAGAAACAGAAAAAAGCUGCUUUUCGACAGAUGAAAUG